UCCAACAACCACAACAGUGACCCAAUCACACCAUAAACCAGCCCAUUCGAUCAGCCCACUAAUAAUACGACCCGGCCCAUACCCUCUACAAUUUUCUUUCUUCCCCACUGACGCUAUUAAUAACGCACAGAAGACAAAAGACGAGCAACAACGACCCAACAAACGAACCAAACGACGGGUCCAACCCGACAGCCCGAACGUAUCGACCCAGAAACCCGCACCAGCCAACCGACCCUAGCUCGAACUAGAAUUUCGACCCGCUCCGACUUCGACGAAAGUUCUAGAAGCCGCGAUGUGGUGUUUUUUCAAAUUGUUUAGCCGUUUUCUCUCUCUCUAAUCUGGUACGAACUUGUACUGGUUUCUACAGCUCAGCCUUAUCCUCUUUCAAAAUCCCUAAAUUACCCCUAUUCCACUUAGUCCUACAUCGGUGGAAAUUUGAAGUCGUCAAAAUUUCCUUCAUAUAAAGCUCGUCCUUAGCUGAAAAGACCAAGUCUUGAAGGCUAGAAAAAGCUCUCAAGCAAAGUUCUUUUUUAGUGAAAUUCAUCGAUUAAUCUAACUUCUUGAAUCGACAGCCACGCUUUCCGUUGGUGGUCGAACUUUCAUUGCAAGCUAGAGUCUCGUUUUGCUGCUCUGAAAUUGAAUGUGGUAUUGGAUUAAUCAAAACAUAAGAUCUUACCCAAACUCUUCAUGAUUUUUUCCGCCAACCCUGUAUAUACUGUCUUUUCUCCUCUUCAUCUGAAUGCUUUCUAUUGCUUUCUAUUUGAUAUUUAGGUGUGAAUUUAAUUCAAGUUUCUUUGUUAACUUAAUUGUUUAUUUUGUUACAACAUGUAUUAAUUUCAUUUAUCUUUCUUUUGCAUAUGAAUCUAUUGUGGAGUCCAAAUGGACUCUUUUCCUCCAUAUCUCGUAACGGACUAAUGCGGCCUAUCCCUUUGAGCCAGCUAUUUUUGGAGAAAGAAGGAUCUACCAUAAGAAGAAGGAGAAAUGGGUCGAAAUGCCAUUGUUGAAACGCCAUUGCUGAAGUCGUUAAGAGACUUGAAAAGUUUCGAUUUUCACUAUUAUUGUUUUUAUCUUUAUUUAUAUACCUAUCUAUUUAUUAAUUCAUU
Long non-coding RNA from Capsicum annuum, 1103 nucleotides. RefSeq lists it as uncharacterized. The record is from RefSeq and is a predicted model, not a curated record. NCBI's taxonomy places the organism in Eukaryota, Viridiplantae, Streptophyta, Magnoliopsida, Solanales, Solanaceae. The transcript is spliced from 2 exons.